This 74-nucleotide transfer RNA is filed under the name Candidatus Opitulatrix roisinitermitis. Its description in RNAcentral is "tRNA-Pro". It matches the Rfam family "tRNA". From Rfam's summary of the family: Transfer RNA (tRNA) molecules are approximately 80 nucleotides in length. Their secondary structure includes four short double-helical elements and three loops (D, anti-codon, and T loops). The record is from RNAcentral. Lineage: Bacteria; Bacillati; Actinomycetota; Actinomycetes; Bifidobacteriales; Bifidobacteriaceae.
CGGGGUGUAGCGCAGGUUGGUAGCGCAUCUGUUUUGGGAACAGAGGGUCGCAGGUUCAAAUCCUGUCACCCCGA